This 421-nucleotide ribosomal RNA is filed under the name uncultured bacterium. RNAcentral describes it as "partial 16S ribosomal RNA". It matches the Rfam family "Bacterial small subunit ribosomal RNA", at positions 360 to 773 of the family's 1533-position model. The record is from RNAcentral.
AAUCUUCCACAAUGGACGAAAGUCUGAUGGAGCAACGCCGCGUGAGUGAAGAAGGUUUNCGGAUCNUNAAGCUCUGUUGUGAGGGNCGAACAAGUACAGGAGUCACUGUCUGUACCUUGACGGUACCUCACCAGAAAGCCACGGCUAACUACGUGCCAGCAGCCGCGGUAAUACGUAGGUGGCAAGCGUUGUCCGGAAUUAUUGGGCGUAAAGCGCGCGCAGGCGGUCCUUUAAGUCUGAUGUGAAAGCCCACGGCUCAACCGUGGAGGGUCAUUGGAAACUGGGGGACUUGAGUGCAGAAGAGGAAAGUGGAAUUCCAAGUGUAGCGGUGAAAUGCGUAGAGAUUUGGAGGAACACCAGUGGCGAAGGCGACUUUCUGGUCUGUAACUGACGCUGAGGCGCGAAAGCGUGGGGAGCAAAC